AGUAAAAGUCGUAACAAGGUUUCCGUAGGUGAACCUGCGGAAGGAUCAUUACUGAGACUGGGUGCUUCGGCGCCCGACCUCCAACCCUUUGUCUACCUUACCACUGUUGCCUCGGCGGGUUUGCGCCCUACCUUAACCGGUAGAGUGAACUCCCGCCGGCGGCCUACAACCAAAACUCUUGUUUAAACACCGUUUAUCUGAGAACAAAAACAAUAACUUCAAAACUAUUAACAACGGAUCUCUUGGUUCUGGCAUCGAUGAAGAACGCAGCGAAAUGCGAUAAGUAAUGUGAAUUGCAGAAUUCAGUGAAUCAUCGAAUCUUUGAACGCACAUUGCGCCCUUUGGUAUUCCGAAGGGCAUGCCUGUUCGAGCGUCAUUAUCAACCAUCAAGCUCUGCUUGGCAUUGGGUGUCGACCCCCCCUCACCGGGUGGUCUCGCCUCAAACUGUUCGGCGGUGGGUCAGGGCCUCAAGCGUUAGUAAUACUUCCCGCUUCGGAGAAACCGAGUUGCCUGCCUCCAGAAACCCCCAUCUCAAGGUUGACCUCGGAUCAGGUAGGGAUACCCGCUGAACUUAAGCAUAUCAAUAAGCGGAGGAAAAGAAACCAACAGGGAUUGCCUCAGUAACG
RNAcentral lists this ribosomal RNA (626 nucleotides) under uncultured fungus. Its description in RNAcentral is "eukaryotic LSU rRNA". The stretch from base 223 to 376 matches the Rfam family "5.8S ribosomal RNA". The record is from RNAcentral. Lineage: Eukaryota; Fungi.